GCACUAGUGGUUUAGUGGUAGAAUAGUACCCUGUUGCGGUACAAACCCGGGUUCGAUUCCCGGCUGGUACA
Transfer RNA from Ipomoea nil (Japanese morning glory), 71 nucleotides. It matches the Rfam family "tRNA". From Rfam's summary of the family: Transfer RNA (tRNA) molecules are approximately 80 nucleotides in length. The record is from Rfam. NCBI's taxonomy places the organism in Eukaryota, Viridiplantae, Streptophyta, Magnoliopsida, Solanales, Convolvulaceae.